GCUCUAAUAGCAUAUAUUAAAGUUGUUGCAGUUAAAAAGCUCGUAGUCGGAUUGGGCUUGUGUGGGCUGUCGGCUUAUGGUCGGACGGAAUGUGCAGGCCUUUCUGCUCGGAAUCCCCAUGGCGGUUCGCGCCGCUGUGGAGGGUACGGGCCGUUUACUUUGAAAAAAUUAGAGUGUUCAAAGCAGGCUAUCGCUUGAAU
This 200-nucleotide ribosomal RNA is filed under the name uncultured eukaryote. Its description in RNAcentral is "partial 18S ribosomal RNA". It matches the Rfam family "Eukaryotic small subunit ribosomal RNA", at positions 588 to 800 of the family's 1831-position model. The record is from RNAcentral.